Molecule: ribosomal RNA, 513 nt
Filed under: Arctocebus aureus (golden angwantibo)
Lineage: Eukaryota; Metazoa; Chordata; Mammalia; Primates; Lorisidae
Description: partial 16S ribosomal RNA
Rfam family: Bacterial large subunit ribosomal RNA
Source: RNAcentral
CUGCCCAGUGACUUAAGUUUCAACGGCCGCGGUAUCCUGACCGUGCAAAGGUAGCAUAAUCACUUGUUCUUUAAUUAAGGACUUGAAUGAAUGGCCACACGAGGGUUCAACUGUCUCUUACUUAUAAUCAGUGAAAUUGACUUCUUCGUGAAGAGGCGAAGAUAAACCAGUAAGACGAGAAGACCCUAUGGAGCUUAAAUUUACUACCCAACUUGCACCCUACAUCCCUCCCCAACAGGACUCCAACACUCGCACUUAUGGGUACACAAUUUUGGUUGGGGUGACCUCGGAGCACAAAAUAACCCCCGAGUUAUUUAUACCCAGACAUAACCAGUCAAAGCCUUCAUAAAUAUAAUUGACCCAAAAAAUUGAUCAACGGAACAAGUUACCCUAGGGAUAACAGCGCAAUCCUGUUCAAGAGUCCAUAUCGACAACAGGGUUUACGACCUCGAUGUUGGAUCAGGACAUCCAAAUGGUGUAACCGCUAUUAAUGGUUCGUUUGUUCAACGAUUA